This 492-nucleotide ribosomal RNA is filed under the name uncultured bacterium. RNAcentral's name for it is "partial 16S ribosomal RNA". It matches the Rfam family "Bacterial small subunit ribosomal RNA", at positions 29 to 507 of the family's 1533-position model. The record is from RNAcentral.
AGUGAACGCUGGCGGUAGGUCUAACACAUGCAAGUCGAACGGCAGCACAGUAAGAGCUUGCUCUUACGGGUGGCGAGUGGCGGACGGGUGAGGAAUACAUCGGAAUCUACUUUUUCGUGGGGGAUAACGUAGGGAAACUUACGCUAAUACCGCAUACGACCUACGGGUGAAAGCAGGGGAUCUUCGGACCUUUCGCGAUUGAAUGAGCCGAUGUCGGAUUAGCUAGUUGGCGGGGUAAAGGCCCACCAAGGCGACGAUCCGUAGCUGGUCUGAGAGGAUGAUCAGCCACACUGGAACUGAGACACGGUCCAGACUCCUGCGGGAGGCAGCAGUGGGGAAUAUUGGACAAUGGGCGCAAGCCUGAUCCAGCCAUACCGCGUGGGUGAAGAAGGCCUUCGGGUUGUAAAGCCCUUUUGUUGGGAAAGAAAAGCAGCAGGUUAAUACCCCGCUGUUCUGACGGUACCCAAAGAAUAAGCACCGGCUAACUUCGUG